UGUAAUUUUGAACUGUUCCUUAUUAAGAUGGUGUCUGUUGAUUACAUGUACAUGUAGGUAAAAAUAAACACAUGUAAAAUAUACACUGUACCUUUAUGGAGCGUAUUGACUACAUAUGUAUACGCUAUAAUAAAUGCCUAUAUGUGUUUGCGGCGCACAUACACUUGUGUACAAGUUUUCUUACUUAUUUAAAUUUAAUAAUGAUAUUUAUAGUUAUAUGCAAUUAUUUUCUUACUGGAUUUUUGUAGCUGGUUGGCCUCUUAACCUAAUAAUAAUCAUUACGGAGAGUAAAGGUAUCCCUAUCCUUUAUAAUUUUCAACUUUGAAAUUAAACUUCAAUAAAUUGACUUUGAAAUAAAAGAGACGACCUGUAUAAGGAAACAACAACAAAGUCAUAAAAUAAAUUGUUGGAGCACUAAUAUACAUUAAUAUACAGUAGUACAUUGUUUUAGGUGAUAAUUGAAAUACUACUUUACUUUAUUUAUUGCUAUACGUUAAAAUUAAAGAAGUUUUAAAAAACUUGCGGAAAAUUAAAGUAAAUAAGGCCUCGUGUGUUUUUAGAGGUUAUGUUUAUACAGGUCAAUAACAACUAUUAUUUAUAUAUCUUGAAUUAUUUACAACAACAAUAAAGGAAGUAUUACAAAAUGCGAGUAAAAAUUUAUCAAUGCUGCCCUAGAGGAAAAUAUCACUUUAUGGCAGAAAAUUAAAUGGAGCAAGAAAAUUGAAAUUGCACUUCCGAUCUAGCUGGGGAUCAUUUUUAGUAUCGUUGGGACAAAAGAGGAUUGCUGAAUAUAAAUGUCGAGUUAAAUAAGUGGCAGCAGCGCACUUUGAAGUUGGAAGACAAUCUGAAGUCGGUGUAGCUUUAACAAGGCAACUAGAAAGAUGUUUCAAGGACUCUAGGUGCCUUGAUAAGGAAUAUUUAUUCAUUGUCGCCGAUAAAAAAGUAUGGAAUGUCAGAGUCGACAUGAAUGUAAUCAAUCACGAUGGUAGUUUGGUUGAUUGCGCUAGCAUAGUAACUUUGGUUGCCUUAUCACAUUUUUAGCGUUCUGAUGUUAAUUCAAUUGGAGAUGAUAUUAUUAUACACUCAUUUGCUGAGAAAGAUCCAUUGCCUUUGACAUUGUUUCAUCAACCUGUAGGUGUUUCGUUGUAAACUUUUGAGAAGUAAUCUCCUAUUUAUAAUUCCUAGAAAUAUUUAUUUCAUUAAUAAUAAUAAUAAUACUAUUAUUAUUAAUAGUGAUGAGUGAUGGUGAUUAUCCCUGAU
Cotesia glomerata is the source of this 1260-nucleotide long non-coding RNA. RefSeq lists it as uncharacterized. The record is from RefSeq and is a predicted model, not a curated record. Lineage: Eukaryota; Metazoa; Arthropoda; Insecta; Hymenoptera; Braconidae. The transcript has 5 exons.